AAGCUCCCUUCGGGGAGUGUAUAGAGUGGCGCACGGGUGAGUAACACGUAAGUAAUCUACCUUCGAGUGGGGAAUAACGUUCGGAAACGAACGCUAAUACCGCAUAAUGCAGCGGCAUCUUUGGAUGACAGUUGUUAAAGAUUUAUCGCUUGGAGAGGAGCUUGCGGCAGAUUAGCUAGUUGGUAAGGUAACGGCUUACCAAGGCAUCGAUCUGUAGCCGACCUGAGAGGGUGGUCGGUCACACUGACACUGAAUAACGGGUCAGACUCCUACGGGAGGCAGCAGUCGGGAAUUUUGGGCAAUGGGCGAAAGCCUGACCCAGCAACGCCGCGUGAAGGAUGAAGUAUUUCGGUAUGUAAACUUCGUAAGAAUAGGAAGAAUCAAUGACGGUACUAUUUGUAAGGUCCGGCUAACUACGUGCCAGCAGCCGCGGUAAUACGUAGGGACCAAGCGUUGUUCGGAUUUACUGGGCGUAAAGGGCGCGUAGGCGGCGUAUCAAGUCAAUUGUGAAAUCUCCGGGCUUAACUCGGAACGGUCAAUUGAUACUGAUGUGCUAGAGUGCAGAAAGGGCAGCUGGAAUUCUUGGUGUAGCGGUGAAAUGCGUAGAUAUCAAGAGGAACACCUGAGGCGAAGGCGAGUUGCUAGGCUGACACUGACGCUGAGGCGCGAAAGCUAGGGGAGCGAACGGGAUUAGAUACCCCGGUAGUCCUAGCCCUAA
RNAcentral lists this ribosomal RNA (718 nucleotides) under uncultured Acidobacteriota bacterium. RNAcentral describes it as "bacterial SSU rRNA". It matches the Rfam family "Bacterial small subunit ribosomal RNA", at positions 71 to 805 of the family's 1533-position model. Lineage: Bacteria; Pseudomonadati; Acidobacteriota. The record is from RNAcentral.